GUGCUGGCUUCAGCAGCACAUAUACUAAAAUUGGAAUGAUACAGAGAAGAUUAGCAUAGCCCCUGAGCAAGAAUGACAUGCAAAUUAGUGAAGUGUUCCAUAUUAAA
Molecule: small nuclear RNA, 107 nt
Filed under: Dasypus novemcinctus (nine-banded armadillo)
Lineage: Eukaryota; Metazoa; Chordata; Mammalia; Cingulata; Dasypodidae
Source: RNAcentral